RNAcentral lists this small nuclear RNA (164 nucleotides) under Numida meleagris (helmeted guineafowl). RNAcentral's name for it is "U1 spliceosomal RNA (ENSNMEG00000021924.1)". It matches the Rfam family "U1 spliceosomal RNA". From Rfam's summary of the family: U1 is a small nuclear RNA (snRNA) component of the spliceosome (involved in pre-mRNA splicing). The record is from RNAcentral. Lineage: Eukaryota; Metazoa; Chordata; Aves; Galliformes; Numididae.
AUGCCUACCUCUCAGGCAAGAUGCCAUGAUCAGACAGGUGGUUUUCCCAGGACUCAUAUCCUCCACUCUGAGUGUGCUGACCCCUGCAAUUUCCCCGAAUGUGGGAAGCUCAACUGCAUAAUUUGUCGUAACAGGAGACAUAUAUUUGAGCGAGGAAACACUGU